This 493-nucleotide ribosomal RNA is filed under the name uncultured bacterium. RNAcentral describes it as "partial 16S ribosomal RNA". It matches the Rfam family "Bacterial small subunit ribosomal RNA", at positions 29 to 507 of the family's 1533-position model. The record is from RNAcentral.
ACGAACGCUGGCGGCGUGCUUAACACAUGCAAGUCGAACGGUGAAGCGCCUUCCUUUUUGGUGGGUGUGGAUGAGUGGCGAACGGGUGAGUAACACGUGAGUAACCUGCCCCCUUCUUCUGGAUAACCGCAUGAAAGUGUGGCUAAUACGGGAUAUUCUGGGUCUGUCGCAUGAUGGGUCUGGGAAAGAUAUUGUUUCGGUGGGGGAUGGGCUCGCGGCCUAUCAGCUUGUUGGUGGGGUGGUGGCCUACCAAGGCGGUGACGGGUAGCCGGCCUGAGAGGGUGGACGGUCACACUGGGACGGAGACACGGCCCAGACUCCUACGGGAGGCAGCAGUGGGGAAUAUUGCACAAUGGGCGCAAGCCUGAUGCAGCGACGCCGCGUGAGGGAUGGAGGCCUUCGGGUUGUGAACCUCUUUCGCCAGUGAAGCAGGCCUGCCUCGUUUGUGGGUGGGUUGACGGCAGCUGGAUAAGAAGCGCCGGCUAACUACGUG